CAGAAGUCAGGUCGGAUUAAGCCAUAGUACGGAAAAAACUAUGCUACCUGUGAGCCCCGUCCAAGGACGUUAAAAGAAGUCAGGCCACUACAAGUGCCAUAGCUUGAGUAAACUAUGCAGCCUGUAGCUCCACCUGAGAAGGUGUAAAAAAUCUGGGAGGCCACAAACCAUGGAAGCUGUACGCAUGGCGUAGUGGACUAGCGGUUAGAGGAGACCCCUCCCUUACGAAUCGCAGCAACAAUGGGGGCCCAAGGUGAGAUGAAGCUGUGGUCUC
This 274-nucleotide long non-coding RNA is filed under the name dengue virus type 2. RNAcentral's name for it is "Dengue virus 2 partial sfRNA1". The stretch from base 156 to 227 matches the Rfam family "Flavivirus DB element". The record is from RNAcentral. Lineage: Riboviria; Orthornavirae; Kitrinoviricota; Flasuviricetes; Amarillovirales; Flaviviridae.